UCCAUUAGCUCACUAAUGGCCUGCCGGAAUACUGCAGAGCUAGGAAGUGGGAGAGGUAGACGGUACUCGGUAGGAAGGGGUAAAAUCCUUUGAUCUAUUGAUGACCACCUGUGGCGAAGGCGGUCUACCAGAACACGUUCGACGGUGAGGGAUGAAAGCUGGGGGAGCAAACCGGAUUAGAUACCCGGGUAGUCCCAGCUGUAAACGAUGCAGACUCGGUGAUGCGCUGGCUUGUGGCCAGUGCAGUGCCGCAGGGAAGCCGUUAAGUUUGCCGCCUGGGAAGUACGUACGCAAGUAUGAAACUUAAAGGAAUUGGCGGGGGAGCACCACAAGGGGUGAAGCCUGCGGUUCAAUUGGAGUCAACGCCAGAAAUCUUACCCGGAGAGACAGCAGAAUGAAGGUCAAGCUGAAGACUUUACCAGACAAGCUGAGAGGUGGUGCAUGGCCGCCGCCAGCUCGUGCCGUGAGAUGUCCUGUUAAGUCAGGUAACGAGCGAGAUCCCUGCCUCUAGUUGCCACCAUUACUCUCAGGAGUAGUGGGGCGAAUUAGCGGGACCGCCACAGUUAAUGUGGAGGAAGGAAGGGGCCACGACAGGUCAGUAUGCCCCGAAUC
RNAcentral lists this ribosomal RNA (612 nucleotides) under uncultured archaeon. RNAcentral describes it as "bacterial SSU rRNA". It matches the Rfam family "Archaeal small subunit ribosomal RNA", at positions 550 to 1162 of the family's 1478-position model. The record is from RNAcentral.